AUUGAACGCUAGCGGGAUGCCUUACACAUGCAAGUCGAACGAGUGGCGAACGGGUGAGUAAUGUAUCGGAACGUGCCCAGUAGCGGGGGAUAACUACGGGAAAGGUAGCUAAUACCGCAUACUAUUGGAGCGGCCGAUAGCGGAGUAGCGAGAUGGUGGGGUAACGGCUUACCAAGGCGACGAGCCGUAGCUGGUUUGAGAGGACGACCAGCCACACUGGGACUGUGAGACGGCCCAGCGUCCUACGGGAGGAAGCGGUGGGGAAGUUUGGGCAAUGGGAGAAAGCCUGAUCCACCCAUCCCGCGUGUGCGAUGAAGGCCUUCGGGUUGUAGAGCUCUUUUGGCCUGGAAGCGGUACCUGCAGAAUAAGCACCGGCUAACUACGUGCCAGCAGCCGCGGUAAUUC
RNAcentral lists this ribosomal RNA (405 nucleotides) under uncultured bacterium. RNAcentral describes it as "partial 16S ribosomal RNA". It matches the Rfam family "Bacterial small subunit ribosomal RNA", at positions 30 to 526 of the family's 1533-position model. The record is from RNAcentral.